UACGAAGGGGGCUAGCGUUGCUCGGAAUCACUGGGCGUAAAGCGCACGUAGGCGGGUCGUUACGUCAGGGGUGAAAUCCUGGAGCUCAACUCCAGAACUGCCCUUGAUACUGGCGAUCUCGAGUUCGGGAGAGGUGAGUGGAACUGCGAGUGUAGAGGUGAAAUUCGUAGAUAUUCGCAAGAACACCAGUGGCGAAGGCGGCUCACUGGCCCGAUACUGACGCUGAGGUGCGAAAGCGUGGGGAGCAAACAGG
RNAcentral lists this ribosomal RNA (253 nucleotides) under uncultured bacterium. RNAcentral's name for it is "partial 16S ribosomal RNA". It matches the Rfam family "Bacterial small subunit ribosomal RNA", at positions 524 to 776 of the family's 1533-position model. The record is from RNAcentral.